AUUGAACGCUGGCGGCAGGCCUAACACAUGCAAGUCGAACGGUAACAGGAAGCAGCUUGCUGCUUUGCUGACGAGUGGCGGACGGGUGAGUAAUGUCUGGGAAACUGCCUGAUGGAGGGGGAUAACUACUGGAAACGGUAGCUAAUACCGCAUAACGUCGCAAGACCAAAGAGGGGGACCUUCGGGCCUCUUGCCAUCGGAUGUGCCCAGAUGGGAUUAGCUAGUAGGUGGGGUAAAGGCUCACCUAGGCGACGAUCCCUAGCUGGUCUGAGAGGGUGACCAGCCACACUGGAACUGAGACACGGUCCAGACUCCUACGGGAGGCAGCAGUGGGGAAUAUUGCACAAUGGGCGCAAGCCUGAUGCAGCCAUGCCGCGUGUAUGAAGAAGGCCUUCGGGUUGUAAAGUACUUUCAGCGGGGAGGAAGGGAGUAAAGUUAAUACCUUUGCUCAUUGACGUUACCCGCAGAAGAAGCACCGGCUAACUCCGUGCCAGCAGCCGCGGUAAUACGGAGGGUGCAAGCGUUAAUCGGAAUUACUGGGCGUAAAGCGCACGCAGGCGGUUUGUUAAGUCAGAUGUGAAAUCCCCGGGCUCAACCUGGGAACUGCAUCUGAUACUGGCAAGCUUGAGUCUCGUAGAGGGGGGUAGAAUUCCAGGUGUAGCGGUGAAAUGCGUAGAGAUCUGGAGGAAUACCGGUGGCGAAGGCGGCCCCCUGGACGAAGACUGACGCUCAGGUGCGAAAGCGUGGGGAGCAAACAGG
This 759-nucleotide ribosomal RNA is filed under the name uncultured Enterobacteriaceae bacterium. Its description in RNAcentral is "bacterial SSU rRNA". It matches the Rfam family "Bacterial small subunit ribosomal RNA", at positions 28 to 776 of the family's 1533-position model. The record is from RNAcentral. Lineage: Bacteria; Pseudomonadati; Pseudomonadota; Gammaproteobacteria; Enterobacterales; Enterobacteriaceae.